UUUUUUUCCAAACGUAAUUGUUAUUUAUCACGUCUAAUUUUAGACCCAUUCUUACACCUCUCAUGCAUAUCUAAUGUUCAAUCAAGGGCAGAACCUGCGUGUCAGUCCAUGCCAUGUAAGAAUGGAGGGACGUGCACCAAUAAAGACACCUCAUACACGUGCACGUGUGACAAUGGGUGGAGUGGACAAGACUGCACACAACCAGCGUGUCAGUCUAUGCCAUGCAAGAAUGGAGGCACGUGCAUCAAUACAGAUACCACAUACACGUGCACGUGUGACAAUGGAUGGACUGGACUGGACUGUA
Saccostrea echinata is the source of this 304-nucleotide long non-coding RNA. RefSeq lists it as uncharacterized. The transcript is spliced from 3 exons. Lineage: Eukaryota; Metazoa; Mollusca; Bivalvia; Ostreida; Ostreidae. The record is from RefSeq and is a predicted model, not a curated record.